GGGUCAGUAGGUUGGUCGUGCCACCGGUACGUACUGGUCUCACUGAUUCCUCCUUCCUGAAGAACCAUAAUGCCAUUAAUUUGGUGUUGCGGGGAAACAGGACUGUUACUUUGAAAAAUUAGAGUGUUUAAAGCAAGCUAACGCUUGAAUACAUUAGCAUGGAAUAAUGAAAUAGGACGAUCGAUCCUAUUUUGUUGGUUUCUAGGAUUGACGUA
RNAcentral lists this ribosomal RNA (215 nucleotides) under Glomeromycotina sp. Its description in RNAcentral is "partial small subunit ribosomal RNA". The stretch from base 40 to 215 matches the Rfam family "Eukaryotic small subunit ribosomal RNA", at positions 686 to 864 of the family's 1831-position model. The record is from RNAcentral. Lineage: Eukaryota; Fungi; Glomeromycota.